GAUGAACGCUGGCGGCGUGCCUAAUACAUGCAAGUCGAGCGAACAGACGAGGAGCUUGCUCCUCUGACGUUAGCGGCGGACGGGUGAGUAACACGUGGAUAACCUACCUAUAAGACGGGGAUAACUUCGGGAAACCGGAGCUAAUACCGGAUAAUAUAUUGAACCGCAUGGUUCAAUAGUGAAAGACGGUUUUGCUGUCACUUAUAGAUGGAUCCGCGCCUCAUUAGCUAGUUGGUAAGGUAACGGCUUACCAAGGCAACGAUGCGUAGCCGACCUGAGAGGGUGAUCGGCCACACUGGAACUGAGACACGGUCCAGACUCCUACGGGAGGCAGCAGUAGGGACUCUUCCGCAAUGGGCGAAAGCCUGACGGAGCAACGCCGCGUGAGUGAAGAAGGUCUUCGGAUCGUAAAACUCUGUUAUUAGGGAAGAACAAAUGUGUAAGUAACUAUGCACGUCUUGACGGUACCUAAGCAGAAAGCCACGGCUAACUACGU
RNAcentral lists this ribosomal RNA (496 nucleotides) under uncultured bacterium. RNAcentral's name for it is "partial 16S ribosomal RNA". It matches the Rfam family "Bacterial small subunit ribosomal RNA", at positions 28 to 506 of the family's 1533-position model. The record is from RNAcentral.